Molecule: long non-coding RNA, 1935 nt
Filed under: Anthonomus grandis grandis
Lineage: Eukaryota; Metazoa; Arthropoda; Insecta; Coleoptera; Curculionidae
Description: uncharacterized LOC126737327
Source: RNAcentral
GUAAUCCGCGUAAAUCAAUUUUCAUGACGGUCACUUGCAAAUCAAAAUAAAAAAAAUAACGUUUGUCAUCUCGUUGUUGGUUAUUAAGUUUUAGUGACUAUGAAUGAGAGUAUAACUCCAUCAGAGCCAGGAAAAGCUAGGCGAACUCCUGGAGAUCGUCGCAAGUGGAAAAGAAACCUAGCAAAAUCUAAAAGAUACGAUCCUCCAGGGCCACCAGAAUAUCCUCGUUGCGACCAUUUGAACAAGUCUUAUAAAUGCAAGAGGCUAACUAUGAGGGACAUCAAAUAAUUUCAUGCAAAUUUUUACGCAACUCGCGAGAAGAACUCUCAGGAUGCUUUUAUCAUCAAACAUGUAAAGGUAACAACUGCAAAAAGACCACGUCCUAAAAAGAAGCCUACAUCUACAAAGAAAGUUAGUACAAACUACUACAUUAGAGUUUCCGGCACGGAGAAGUUUUGUUUACGUGUAUGUCAGCAAACCUUUGUUGAUAUUCUUCAAAUCUCACGGAAAAGAAUUCAAGGCUUAGCUCGAAAAUUUCUAAAUACGGGUAGAAUUCCAGUGGAUAGGAGAGGUGGAGCAAGACCUAAUCAUUUCUAUGACAGGAAGAAAACCGCUAUUAGAGGGUUUAUAGAAAAAUUGAAAUGCUGUGAAAGUUAUUAUUCUCGAGUUAAGUCUGCUAACCGACGAUAUUUGCCUGGAAAUUUUAGUAUUAAUAAAUUAUAUCGAAUGUACAAUAAUGAACAGCCUGACGAAUUAUCAAAAUUAAAAAAAACAUUUAAAUUUAAAACUGAAACCAAUGCCCAAACGAAAAAUAAAUUCAUGACUGACAUGGCAUUUCAUAAAAUGCGAUAUAAACCUUUUUUUAUAAAACUGCAAGAGAUCUUUUAACACUUAGUUAUGAUUGUCAAAAAAAUUUAGUUUUACCUAAAGUUCAAGAUCAGACGACAUACUAUAGUCGACAAAUUUACAUUUACAAUUUUUCCAUUGUGAAGGGAAGCUUAAAAGACGGUUUGUAUCCUGAAAAUGUAUUUUGUUAUACUUCGAUGGAGCACGAGCAUAAAAAGGGUGCUAAUGAAAUUGCUUCCGCGGUAUUUCAUCAAUUGUCGAUCCUCGAAUUAUUGGCAUCUAUUUCUACAAUAAGGUUGUGUGCUGAGGGAUGCGGUGGGCAAAAUCGUAACUCGAUUAUGAUCGGAAUGCUGCACUAUUUUUUAGCAAAAGUCGCACCUCCAAACAUUAAGGAAAUACAAGUUAUUUUUCCUAUUACUGGACACUCGUUGUUACCCGCUGACCGCGUGUUUGCUUCUAUAGAAAAGAAAUUGCGUAAGUUACCAGUGAUAAUAAAUCCAAAAGAAUAUGAGACAGUUUUUUCAGAGCAUUCUACUAUUUUUAGGCCUGGAACUGACUUAAAUAUUUAUGAUUGGAAGACUUUCGCAGAAACACUUUAAAUUUAAUGAACGUUUUAUCCUUACGAAAUCUGCACAGCAAAAUGUGUUGCUCCGGGGAGAAACAUCUUAUAAUAGCGAUAUAUCCACUGGCAAAUUAAUUGUAAAAAAAGGGAUAAAAAUUAGUUGAUGAUAAAUGCUACAUUGCCAGGUCAGAUACCUAUGGGAGUGGCACUUAAAGCAGUAAAGAUUCAAGAUGUUAAGAAUCUUCUGAAAAAACACUUUGGCGAAACCUGAACCACAAUGGAGGAAAGCUCUUUCUACCAAAAUGUGUUGAAAACCAUGACAGCAAUUCAUGAAGCAGAAGAUCUUGAAGAAAAUGAGUUUUGUGAGGGACAUGAAAAUGAGCAACUUGCUGAUCGAGUGUAAAUUUAUCAAAAUAUUAUUAUGUUUCUUAAGAAUUUAGUUUUGUUUUCUUUUUUUGACAGAAUUUUGUUUUUAAAUUUUGUAAACACCUUUAAAUAAUAAAAAUAAAAGGCGUUUUGGUUAUUCA